This 3966-nucleotide ribosomal RNA is filed under the name Triticum aestivum (bread wheat). Its description in RNAcentral is "partial small subunit ribosomal RNA". Lineage: Eukaryota; Viridiplantae; Streptophyta; Magnoliopsida; Poales; Poaceae. The record is from RNAcentral.
AUGGCGUCUCCAGCCGGAAACCCUAAUCCGAACCCCGGCAACCCCAAUCCCCCCUUCGAGAUGGCCAUGCUCUUCAGGCCGCCUCCCAACCCCGCGCCGACCGCCGCGCCCAUGUUCCCCGGCGCCGCCGGCCCGCCGCCGCACUCCGGCCCCUACUCCUACCCCCCGGCCACCCCUCCCUUCCACCUCCGCCCCUACCUCCACUACCCGCAGGAUCCCCAGCCCCCCAUGCCCCGCCCGGUCAUCCCCUUCCCCAUGCCCAACCCGAACGCGAACCCCAACCCGGGCGCUAACCCCAUGGCCGCCGCGGGCCCCAACCCCGGCGCCCGCCUCAUGCAGCUGCUCGGCAGCUCCGGCUCGGGCCACCUCGAGUCCGCGGUAUCCAUGCCCCCGCCGUCGUCGGAGUUCGCCGCCGCGCAGCCGUCGCCGCUCCCGGCGAUGCCAUCCGCGCCGCCGGCGAGGAUGCUCAGCAGCACCAGCAGCAAGGUGCCCAGAGGUCGGCUUCUGGGUGGCGGGGACAAGGCGGUGCACAACGUUGACUCGAGGCUGCCUGGGGAGGCGCAGCCGCCACAGCUGGAGGUGACGCCGAUCACCAAGUACACGUCAGACCCAGGUCUUGUGCUGGGCAGGCAGAUCGCUGUGAACCGGACGUACAUCGUCUAUGGGCUCAAGCUGGGGAACAUCCGUGUGCUAAACAUCAACACCGCGCUUCGGUCACUGCUCCGUGGCCAUACACAGAGGGUCACGGACAUGGCUUUCUUCGCUGAGGACGUCCAUCGUUUAGCAAGCGCAAGUGUUGAUGGACGGAUAUACGUGUGGAGGAUUGAUGAGGGGCCCGAUGCAGAAAAUAAACCACAAAUUACAGGAAAGAUAGAAGUUGCCAUACAAAUUGUAGGUGAUGCCGAAGCUUACCAUCCAAGGAUAUGUUGGCACUCUCAUAAGCAAGAACUUCUGUUUGUUGGAAUCAGAAACUGUGUCUUAAGAAUAGACACAACUAAAGUGGGAAGGGGAAGAGACUUUAAUGCUGAAGAACCUAUCAAAUGUCAUCUUGACGAGCUUAUUGAUGGUGUACGCUUGGUUGGUAGGCAUGACGGUGAUGUGACAGAUUUGUCCAUAUCUCAGUGGAUGACUACCCGACUGGCUUCAGGAUCAAAUGAUGGCACGGUAAAGAUUUGGGACGAUCGCAAGUUAGCGCCUCUAUCGAUUCUAAAGCCACAUGAUGGUCAAGCUGUUUACUCAGUUGCCUUUCUUACAGCACCUGAGCGCCCGCAUCAUAUAAAUCUCAUCACUGCUGGUCCUCUAAACCGAGAAAUUAAAAUUUGGGCUUCUACUAAUGAAGAAGGUUGGUUGUUGCCAAGCGACUCUGAGACUUGGAAUUGCACGCAGACCCUGGAACUUGUUAGUUCUCUGGAACCUAAAGUCGAGGAGGCAUUUUUCAAUCAAGUUGCAGUGCUGCCUCAAGCAAGCAUUAUCUUACUUGCGAAUGCGAAGAAGAAUGCUAUUUACGCUGUGCAUGUUGAGUAUGGCUCAGACCCCGCUUCUACCCGCUUGGAUUAUAUCGCAGAUUUUACAGUCGCGAUGCCUAUUUUAAGUCUUACUGGUACACAUGAAAGCCAACCUGAUGGUGAGCAGGUAGUUCAAGUCUAUUGUGUCCAAACAAUGGCCAUCCAGCAGUAUGGGCUGGAGUUAUCACUUUGUUCGCCUCCUACAUCUGAUACUAACUCAUUUGGAAGAGACCCUGCUAUUUCACGUGUUUAUGAUACACCUCUGGAAGUGGUAGGAGCAGAGUCAUCCACGGGAACUAGCGUUACAGAUUCUUACACCGUCGGUACUUCGAGUAAACAAUCAACUUUUGAUCAGACUGCAGAGUUUGAUCUUAAGCCAUCAGCUCCACCACUUACAUACACAGAAGGUGAUGGUUCUGUGCAUCUUCAGUCUGCCCCUCUUGCAUCAAACACUGAUCUUACUGGAUCAGGACCAGUAGGCAACCGUGACAAAGACCAAUCAGCUUUUGAUUAUUCGACAAGCCGAAUCACUGAGCCAGUUGCCUUGACUAGGCAAGACACACCCAUGCCAAAACCAGUUGCCCUCGCUAGGCAAGAUACACCCAUGCCAAAACCAGUUGCCCUUGCUAGGCAAGAUACACCCAUGCCAAAGGACAAUUUUGGAAAGGAUGAAUUAAGAGACAGCAACAGUGAUGUUCAGAUGCUCCCAAAUCCUCGCAUGAUGUUUAAGGAUGACUCUAUUAGUAGCCCUCGGAUUGCAGAAGUGGAAGCAAAACAUGUCAAUGAGGGUAAAUCUAAUCAUGAUUUGGAACUUGAAGCUGUCAAGGAAGCUCAAGUUGUCCGUGAGAACUCAGAGAAAGAUCAAAAUUCGUUGGAGCAAACUGUUGAAAUGAUCAGUGAGCGUUCAGUAACAACUGAUAAGUAUAGCGUGGAAGAAUCACGGUCACCGUCUGAUAGACUGGUCCCUGACCAUACUGGUGCUGCUGGAGAAAAUGUUUCAAACAAAACCAUAGAAAAACCUGGCAUAAGUGACUCCUCUGUGUCUAGGGAGCAAUCAUCUUCAUAUACAAAGGACAAGGUUUUUCAUCCUCAAGCAUCUGGUCAGUCAUCACCUUCUACAAGCGCAUUUAACUCAACUGAGUCUUCACAUGAACCUGUCAGCAGUGCAUACCCUCCUAUUGAAUCCUCUUCAGAAGUUGCCGAUAUGCUGCAACAGCUAAUAGCCAUGCAGAAGGAUAUGCAGAAGCAGCUAGGUACUAUCGUUAUUGCUCCCAUUGCGAAGGAAGGCAAAAGAAUUGAAACAUCACUAGGCCGUACAAUGGAGAAAUCUAUCAAGGCUAGCAUUGAUGCCUUGUGGGCUCGUUUCCUGGAGGAGAACACAAAACGUGAGAAGGCUGAAAGGGAACGAAUGCAGCAAAUGACCACUCUCAUCACAAGCUCAAUAAACAAGGACCUUCCUGCUAUGUUGGAUAAGUUAGUAAAGAAAGAAGUUCCUUCACUUGGACCUGUUGUUGCACGGGCAAUGACACCUAUUAUUGAGAAGUCCUUAACCUCUAUAGUUGCUGAUGCAGUUCAGAAAGCGGUGGGUGACAAGGUGGUGAAUCAGCUGGACAAAUCUGUUACUGCAAAACUUGAAGCUACACUUGCUAGGCAAAUCCAAAUGCAAUUUCAUACAUCUGUAAAACAGACUCUUCAGGAUGUUUUACGCACUAGCUUUGAAUCAUUGCUUGUUCCAGCAUUUGAACAAUCAUGCAAGACAAUGUUUGAGCAAGUAGACAGUGCAUUCCAGAAAGGAAUGUCUGAGCAUGCUGUUGCUAUUCAGCAGCAGGUUGAGGCAGCACAUACUCCAUUGGUGCUUACUUUAAAGGAAACUAUCACUUCUGCGUCCUCAAUCACCCAGAAUCUCACAUCAGAGUUACUUGAUGGGCAUCGCAAAAUUUUGGCGCUGGUUACAUCAGGCAACGCCAAUGCGCAAAAUACAAAUGUUCUGCAGCCCAACAAUGGUCCUAUCACUGGCCCGCCAGAGGUUGAGGCACCAUUAGACCCGAUGAAGGAGCUGUCAAGACUGCUAUCUGAACACAAAUUUGACGAGGCUUUUACAGUAGCACUUCAAAGAAGUGACGUGUCAAUUGUGUCUUGGUUAUGCUCUCAGGUUGAUUUGCGUGGAUUAUGUACAAUGGCCCCAGUCCCUCUGAACCAGGGAGUCCUUCUAGCCCUACUCCAGCAGCUAGCAGUUGAUAUUGGCACCGAGACAUCCCGGAAAAUUCAGUGGAUGACAGAUGUUGCCAUGGCGAUCAAUCCGACAGACCAAGUCAUCGCCAUACAUGUAAGGCCCAUCUUCGAGCAAGUCUACGCCAAGUUGGCUCACCACCGGUCGCUCCCCACCACCAGUCCAUUGGAUAAUAGCAAUCUUCGCUUGCUUAUGCAUGUCAUCAACUCAGUUCUGCUUAGCUACAAGUGA